GGCUUCGAGCCCGUCGCGGCUGGGCCGGGCUGGUCUGGCAGGCGGGCCCAGCCGGGCAGGGCUGCUUUGCUAAUGGCGGCGGCUCUCUUUCCUUCCUUCCUCCUUUCCUCCGUCCCCCCGGUCGUGGGGAGCCCGGAGCAGGAGGCGGGCCCGCGGCCAGGUUCUGGGCCGGAGAAGGGGCGACGUUCGGGCACCCCCCGAAUGGACAAUCUUUCCUUCUGUCAACGGCAGGGGCAGGCCUAGUUUGACUCUGACAGUCCUCCCACUAAGGAAUUCCUGGUGACUGGAAGGGGGAGUGACUCAGGCCCUCAACCUCUAGCAGAGUGCCUUGGCUCCCUCCUGUCGUCCUGGGGAACCUCGGCCCCAGCCCUGCCUCCCCAGCCAGUCACAGCUCCUCCCUGGUCACCCUGAGGGAGCUCAGGGCCCGGCUGGUAGCUGGGUUGCUCUGCUUCUGUCCCCCACUCCUGUGGAGCCUGGCA
Molecule: long non-coding RNA, 479 nt
Filed under: Homo sapiens (human)
Lineage: Eukaryota; Metazoa; Chordata; Mammalia; Primates; Hominidae
Description: long intergenic non-protein coding RNA 1089
Source: RNAcentral